RNAcentral lists this ribosomal RNA (430 nucleotides) under uncultured Pseudomonas sp. RNAcentral describes it as "bacterial SSU rRNA". It matches the Rfam family "Bacterial small subunit ribosomal RNA", at positions 354 to 776 of the family's 1533-position model. Lineage: Bacteria; Pseudomonadati; Pseudomonadota; Gammaproteobacteria; Pseudomonadales; Pseudomonadaceae. The record is from RNAcentral.
GUGGGGAAUAUUGGACAAUGGGCGAAAGCCUGAUCCAGCCAUGCCGCGUGUGUGAAGAAGGUCUUCGGAUUGUAAAGCACUUUAAGUUGGGAGGAAGGGCAUUAACCUAAUACGUUAGUGUUUUGACGUUACCGACAGAAUAAGCACCGGCUAACUCUGUGCCAGCAGCCGCGGUAAUACAGAGGGUGCAAGCGUUAAUCGGAAUUACUGGGCGUAAAGCGCGCGUAGGUGGUUUGUUAAGUUGGAUGUGAAAUCCCCGGGCUCAACCUGGGAACUGCAUUCAAAACUGACUGACUAGAGUAUGGUAGAGGGUGGUGGAAUUUCCUGUGUAGCGGUGAAAUGCGUAGAUAUAGGAAGGAACACCAGUGGCGAAGGCGACCACCUGGACUAAUACUGACACUGAGGUGCGAAAGCGUGGGGAGCAAACAGG